AUGGCCAAGUCAAUGGUAUCGAAGAGGGAAGAAGUCCAGCAAUGUAUUUCAUAUAUCCAGUUAAAAAAACUUUAGGGUUCAAAACAAAGCAAAACCAAUUACCACUAAUCUUGUAAACAAUUUAAACACUGAAAAAGUUAGCAGAGUGAAUAAAGUUUUUAUACAUAUACAGAAAAAAACUUGCUCAUUUCUCAAAAGGCCUUUCCCUUGAACCUCUGCAGAAACAGCUGAUUCCUCAGCAGCAUCAUGAGAACAAACCAGUUAAUGAUGGUUAAUAAAACUAUAAGAUUAGUGGCUCAGCUGUAA
RNAcentral lists this long non-coding RNA (306 nucleotides) under Homo sapiens (human). RNAcentral describes it as "non-protein coding lnc-PLCL2-7:1". The record is from RNAcentral. Lineage: Eukaryota; Metazoa; Chordata; Mammalia; Primates; Hominidae.